Non-coding RNA from Pimephales promelas (fathead minnow), 376 nucleotides. The record is from RefSeq and is a predicted model, not a curated record. NCBI's taxonomy places the organism in Eukaryota, Metazoa, Chordata, Actinopteri, Cypriniformes, Leuciscidae.
CCUCUGGCUCCAUUCGUGGUGCCCCGAAGUCCAAACGCAUCACUGAUGUCCCCCACGACAUUUGGUCUUACAUCUCAGUCUGCUACUAAAAAAAAGCCCGCUACGACUGCGAACACAGUGCUACACCGCAAACCUCACAGAUCCCUCUCUCCUUGGAAGUUUUAGAUCAAAGCCCUCACAGGCAUCCAGAAGUUCCCCAAAUAAAUCCCCCAAAGAGCAUUCCACUCCGGUGUCCAGCACACUCAGAGACCAGAGUCCAGUCUUGAGCCGCUAUUCCCUGAGAGAACGGUUAGUCAAGUUUUGCUGCAGAGCAAUUUAACACAGUUUUUGUUCUGGUCUAUUCUGUCAUUGGAUUGAUUUGUUUUUUUCAUUAAAG